This 745-nucleotide long non-coding RNA is filed under the name Equus caballus (horse). RNAcentral describes it as "lncRNA (ENSECAG00000057435.1)". The record is from RNAcentral. Lineage: Eukaryota; Metazoa; Chordata; Mammalia; Perissodactyla; Equidae.
CGGCGUUCGGUGCCUGCACUAGCCGUCGGGUUCAGAGUUCAUCUGCAGAGAUAAAAAUGAUGAGGAUGCCCGAGAGUGGGAUUGCCCCUGCUUUGGAUGGCCUGCGGUCCAGCGUGCUUCCUUGACCCUCCCCACCAGCUGUGUUCCGGGGCGGAGUCUGUGGAUGGAAGGCUUGGAGGGUGGAUCCCUCUGUUGGGCCUGCUUGCUUGAAUUUCCCUCAUCUGGACUGGUGGAUUCCUCAAGCCUCAUCCUGAUGCUAUGCCCCACCCUCACGACCCUGACCCUCGAAGGAAAAGGUGGAGAGAACCUGAGACUGUAGAAAGGAACGUGGAACACGGAGGACUCAUUGCCAUGCCCAGGAUACCCUCUGCACAGGGAACGUGGAGCUCCGGGAACCAGAGGCUACACCAGUAUCAGCCGCAUCCGUGCACACUUGUCUGCACUUGAGGCCUGGGGCAGCUACUGCGUGUGUGUGUGUUGGAGGGGGACGGAGGAUGUUGGAGAGAGAAAGCCUUCAAUCCCAUCAGGAGCUUCUGUCCGCGUUCACACGGAAGGAUCUGGGGGGCACUGAAGCACAUCCAUAAAUUUUAUUUGAAAAUACUGUGUAUGCAGUAUAAAUGCAGUGGGGAAAAAAGACUGGAAGAAAAUAUUCUGAAACGUUAACAGUGGUUAUGUCUUGCGGUGGGAUCAAGGAUUUUUAUACUUUCAUGUGUUUUCCAAAUUUUUUACACCGAACACGUGUUAG